UGGGAACACCUCGGGAUUCCCCCGGAGGAGCUGAAUUAUUCAUAGUGGACUCACGGGAUUAUAUUGCAUUGUGUAACCCGCAAUUAGUAAAGGACUUUUAUUUUUGCGGGCCCACUUCCUGUGUUGCCCGAACUCUGCUAACUUAUUUAAAGCCACGCCUCCAGUGCGCAGUAAAAGAUCCUCACCUGUUCCACUGAUUGUGGCUUGCUGUUGGCGUCUUCCUCAGGAAUUCCUCCAAAAAUCUUUGAACCUAUUGAUUUGAUUGCUGGAUGAGUUUGUUAUUUGUUAACAGUAUUACUUUUUCAUGUGGUACUUCUGCUCGAUUGCUCAUUGGAGGGUUGUUUUAUUAGAAUCACUGGCAUUGUUUACCUGGACCGCCACCAGGAUUCUGUUAGUGCUGAUUGUGGCUCAGUACGCCCCACUCUCUUCUAAAAGGUCGGUUUUUUUUUUUUUCACCUGUCGGAUCAGAUCCUCAUCUGGAUCGAAAGAUGGCGAGCUAGGAAUGGACUAUGGACUUUAUGAUUUGGAAAUCAAUUUAUUCUGACUCAAUUCUCAUGUGUCUCAUUGUGUUGUUGUAAUUGUAUGUUUUUUUAUUCAAAUCACUUAAUAUAUAUUCACCAAAACUAAAA
Long non-coding RNA from Xiphophorus hellerii (green swordtail), 629 nucleotides. RefSeq lists it as uncharacterized. The transcript has 2 exons. The record is from RefSeq and is a predicted model, not a curated record. NCBI's taxonomy places the organism in Eukaryota, Metazoa, Chordata, Actinopteri, Cyprinodontiformes, Poeciliidae.